UUCGAUUGCUCUAAUCCCCGCGGCAGCGCCACUCUCUUGUCUUUUCUGCCAUCUUCCUUAUCCGUCGCCGGACGUUUAUCUCCCGUCGGCCGAUUCUCUGUCCCCGAGCUUUUCUUCAUAUUCCGUCUGCAGCCACGUUUCUGAGCGACGAGACGGCACAACUCCCUCUUGCCUCUUUUUCAUCCGCAGCUGCUCUGUCUCUGUUCUUCCUUCUUGAGUCUGUGUUCGCUGAUCCCGCACGGUAUUCUUCUAUGCCCCUCUUCUUCCCUCGUUACUGCAGUGAAAAUUUCAUUUGAGAUGGAUUUGGAUUGGACUUGGAAGUCUUACUAGCUGCGAUCUAGUUACUUUAUAGCAUAUCACAAAUUGCAAGGCUUAUCGAUAGCGAACCAUGAAGUAGGAAGUCUUACCGUCUACGGUUUGAGUGUAAUUAGUUAUCUUUGUGCCUACAUUUUCACUAGGAAAUUGAUCCCCUUGGGACGUUGGUGGCGAACUGAAGACUGAUAUUUUGAUCUAUGCUUUUGCUGACCUCUUACAAACAGAUCUUUUCCACUCUACUGUCUUUGGGUUUUCUCGUUUUGGAGUCUAUUUCUGCUUUGUAUGGCGGGGAACACACAAGAGUCUUAGCCAUUGUACAUUAGUUAGUCUUGCUAUUACACCCUCUUUCGAUGAAUAUGCCACAUUUUGUUCUUAUUUACUUCCAAUAAGUCUGCUUUCUUUUGUAAUUUCCAGUAAUACUUGUAUUUCGCAUAAUGCCAUCAGUUAACCUAAUUUUAUUAAAGGACAUGCUUAAUGUGCAUCAAACUGGACAAUUAGAUAAUUCUUACGUCAUUGCCUUGUUUCUACAGUGAUCAUGAUGUCCUCUGUAAUUAUUGAAAUUGAAAGAUUUAAUUUUUGUGUUAUAGGUUUUGCCUCUA
This 914-nucleotide long non-coding RNA is filed under the name Linum usitatissimum (flax). Its description in RNAcentral is "long non-coding RNA (LUSI_LNC004949)". Lineage: Eukaryota; Viridiplantae; Streptophyta; Magnoliopsida; Malpighiales; Linaceae. The record is from RNAcentral.